This 178-nucleotide ribosomal RNA is filed under the name uncultured bacterium. Its description in RNAcentral is "partial 16S ribosomal RNA". It matches the Rfam family "Bacterial small subunit ribosomal RNA", at positions 1323 to 1500 of the family's 1533-position model. The record is from RNAcentral.
AAGUCGGAAUCGCUAGUAAUCGCGGAUCAGCAUGCUGCGGUGAAUACGUUCCCGGGCCUUGUACACACCGCCCGUCACACCAUGAGAGUCGAUAACACCCGAAGCCUGUAGUCUAACCAUAAGGGGGACGCAGUCGAAGGUGGGAUUGAUAAUUAGGGUGAAGUCGUAACAAGGUACC